This 1372-nucleotide ribosomal RNA is filed under the name uncultured bacterium. Its description in RNAcentral is "bacterial SSU rRNA". It matches the Rfam family "Bacterial small subunit ribosomal RNA", at positions 28 to 1381 of the family's 1533-position model. The record is from RNAcentral.
GAUGAACGCUGGCGGCGUGCCUAAUACAUGCAAGUCGAGCGAACGGACGAGAAGCUUGCUUCUCUGAUGUUAGCGGCGGACGGGUGAGUAACACGUGGAUAACCUACCUAUAAGACUGGGAUAACUUCGGGAAACCGGAGCUAAUACCGGAUAAUAUUUUGAACCGCAUGGUUCAAAAGUGAAAGACGGUCUUGCUGUCACUUAUAGAUGGAUCCGCGCUGCAUUAGCUAGUUGGUAAGGUAACGGCUUACCAAGGCAACGAUGCAUAGCCGACCUGAGAGGGUGAUCGGCCACACUGGAACUGAGACACGGUCCAGACUCCUACGGGAGGCAGCAGUAGGGAAUCUUCCGCAAUGGGCGAAAGCCUGACGGAGCAACGCCGCGUGAGUGAUGAAGGUCUUCGGAUCGUAAAACUCUGUUAUUAGGGAAGAACAUAUGUGUAAGUAACUGUGCACAUCUUGACGGUACCUAAUCAGAAAGCCACGGCUAACUACGUGCCAGCAGCCGCGGUAAUACGUAGGUGGCAAGCGUUAUCCGGAAUUAUUGGGCGUAAAGCGCGCGUAGGCGGUUUUUUAAGUCUGAUGUGAAAGCCCAUGGCUCAACCGUGGAGGGUCAUUGGAAACUGGAAAACUUGAGUGCAGAAGAGGAAAGUGGAAUUCCAUGUGUAGCGGUGAAAUGCGCAGAGAUAUGGAGGAACACCAGUGGCGAAGGCGACUUUCUGGUCUGUAACUGACGCUGAUGUGCGAAAGCGUGGGGAUCAAACAGGAUUAGAUACCCUGGUAGUCCACGCCGUAAACGAUGAGUGCUAAGUGUUAGGGGGUUUCCGCCCCUUAGUGCUGCAGCUAACGCAUUAAGCACUCCGCCUGGGGAGUACGACCGCAAGGUUGAAACUCAAAGGAAUUGACGGGGACCCGCACAAGCGGUGGAGCAUGUGGUUUAAUUCGAAGCAACGCGAAGAACCUUACCAAAUCUUGACAUCCUUUGACAACUCUAGAGAUAGAGCUUUCCCCUUCGGGGGACAAAGUGACAGGUGGUGCAUGGUUGUCGUCAGCUCGUGCCGUGAGAUGUUGGGUUAAGUCCCGCAACGAGCGCAACCCUUAAGCUUAGUUGCCAUCAUUAAGUUGGGCACUCUAAGUUGACUGCCGGUGACAAACCGGAGGAAGGUGGGGAUGACGUCAAAUCAUCAUGCCCCUUAUGAUUUGGGCUACACACGUGCUACAAUGGACAAUACAAAGGGCAGCGAAACCGCGAGGUCAAGCAAAUCCCAUAAAGUUGUUCUCAGUUCGGAUUGUAGUCUGCAACUCGACUACAUGAAGCUGGAAUCGCUAGUAAUCGUAGAUCAGCAUGCUACGGUGAAUACGUUCCCGGGUCU